Molecule: transfer RNA, 73 nt
Filed under: Fonticella tunisiensis
Lineage: Bacteria; Bacillati; Bacillota; Clostridia; Eubacteriales; Clostridiaceae
Rfam family: tRNA
About the family: Transfer RNA (tRNA) molecules are approximately 80 nucleotides in length. Their secondary structure includes four short double-helical elements and three loops (D, anti-codon, and T loops).
Source: Rfam by way of RNAcentral
CGCGGGGUGGAGCAGUUGGCAGCUCGUCGGGCUCAUAACCCGAAGGUCGAAGGUUCAAGUCCUUCCCCCGCAA